AAACUGAAGAGUUUGAUCAUGGCUCAGAUUGAACGCUGGCGGCAGGCUUAACACAUGCAAGUCGAACGAUGACUCUCUAGCUUGCUAGAGAAGAUUAGUGGCGGACGGGUGAGUAACAUUUAGGAAUCUGCCUAGUAGUGGGGGAUAGCUCGGGGAAACUCGAAUUAAUACCGCAUACGACCUACGGGUGAAAGGGGGCGCAAGCUCUUGCUAUUAGAUGAGCCUAAAUCAGAUUAGCUAGUUGGUGGGGUAAAGGCCCACCAAGGCGACGAUCUGUAACUGGUCUGAGAGGAUGAUCAGUCACACCGGAACUGAGACACGGUCCGGACUCCUACGGGAGGCAGCAGUGGGGAAUAUUGGACAAUGGGGGCAACCCUGAUCCAGCCAUGCCGCGUGUGUGAAGAAGGCCUUUUGGUUGUAAAGCACUUUAAGCAGGGAGGAGAGGCUAAUGGUUAAUACCCAUUAGAUUAGACGUUACCUGCAGAAUAAGCACCGGCUAACUCUGUGCCAGCAGCCGCGGUAAUACAGAGGGUGCGAGCGUUAAUCGGAAUUACUGGGCGUAAAGCGAGUGUAGGUGGCUCAUUAAGUCACAUGUGAAAUCCCCGGGCUUAACCUGGGAACUGCAUGUGAUACUGGUGGUGCUAGAAUAUGUGAGAGGGAAGUAGAAUUCCAGGUGUAGCGGUGAAAUGCGUAGAGAUCUGGAGGAAUACCGAUGGCGAAGGCAGCUUCCUGGCAUAAUAUUGACACUGAGAUUCGAAAGCGUGGGUAGCAAACAGGAUUAGAUACCCUGGUAGUCCACGCCGUAAACGAUGUCUACUAGCCGUUGGGGUCCUUGAGACUUUAGUGGCGCAGUUAACGCGAUAAGUAGACCGCCUGGGGAGUACGGCCGCAAGGUUAAAACUCAAAUGAAUUGACGGGGGCCCGCACAAGCGGUGGAGCAUGUGGUUUAAUUCGAUGCAACGCGAAGAACCUUACCUGGUCUUGACAUAGUGAGAAUCUUUCAGAGAUGAGAGAGUGCCUUCGGGAAUUCACAUACAGGUGCUGCAUGGCUGUCGUCAGCUCGUGUCGUGAGAUGUUGGGUUAAGUCCCGCAACGAGCGCAACCCUUUUCCUUAUUUGCCAGCGGGUUAAGCCGGGAACUUUAAGGAUACUGCCAGUGACAAACUGGAGGAAGGCGGGGACGACGUCAAGUCAUCAUGGCCCUUACGACCAGGGCUACACACGUGCUACAAUGGUAGGUACAGAGGGUUGCUACACAGCGAUGUGAUGCUAAUCUCAAAAAGCCUAUCGUAGUCCGGAUUGGAGUCUGCAACUCGACUCCAUGAAGUCGGAAUCGCUAGUAAUCGCAGAUCAGAAUGCUGCGGUGAAUACGUUCCCGGGCCUUGUACACACCGCCCGUCACACCAUGGGAGUCUAUUGCACCAGAAGUAGGUAGCCUAACGAAAGAGGGCGCUUACCACGGUGUGGUCGAUGACUGGGGUGAAGUCGUAACAAGGUAGCCGUAGGGGAACCUGCGGCUGGAUCACCUCCUUA
RNAcentral lists this ribosomal RNA (1532 nucleotides) under Mycobacterium tuberculosis. Its description in RNAcentral is "bacterial SSU rRNA". It matches the Rfam family "Bacterial small subunit ribosomal RNA". The record is from RNAcentral. RNAcentral also lists the same sequence under 1 other name. Lineage: Bacteria; Bacillati; Actinomycetota; Actinomycetes; Mycobacteriales; Mycobacteriaceae.